This 1489-nucleotide ribosomal RNA is filed under the name Lactiplantibacillus argentoratensis. RNAcentral's name for it is "bacterial SSU rRNA". It matches the Rfam family "Bacterial small subunit ribosomal RNA". Lineage: Bacteria; Bacillati; Bacillota; Bacilli; Lactobacillales; Lactobacillaceae. The record is from RNAcentral.
GACGAACGCUGGCGGCGUGCCUAAUACAUGCAAGUCGAACGAACUCUGGUAUUGAUUGGUGCUUGCAUCAUGAUUUACAUUUGAGUGAGUGGCGAACUGGUGAGUAACACGUGGGAAACCUGCCCAGAAGCGGGGGAUAACACCUGGAAACAGAUGCUAAUACCGCAUAACAACUUGGACCGCAUGGUCCGAGCUUGAAAGAUGGCUUCGGCUAUCACUUUUGGAUGGUCCCGCGGCGUAUUAGCUAGAUGGUGGGGUAAUGGCUCACCAUGGCAAUGAUACGUAGCCGACCUGAGAGGGUAAUCGGCCACAUUGGGACUGAGACACGGCCCAAACUCCUACGGGAGGCAGCAGUAGGGAAUCUUCCACAAUGGACGAAAGUCUGAUGGAGCAACGCCGCGUGAGUGAAGAAGGGUUUCGGCUCGUAAAACUCUGUUGUUAAAGAAGAACAUAUCUGAGAGUAACUGUUCAGGUAUUGACGGUAUUUAACCAGAAAGCCACGGCUAACUACGUGCCAGCAGCCGCGGUAAUACGUAGGUGGCAAGCGUUGUCCGGAUUUAUUGGGCGUAAAGCGAGCGCAGGCGGUUUUUUAAGUCUGAUGUGAAAGCCUUCGGCUCAACCGAAGAAGUGCAUCGGAAACUGGGAAACUUGAGUGCAGAAGAGGACAGUGGAACUCCAUGUGUAGCGGUGAAAUGCGUAGAUAUAUGGAAGAACACCAGUGGCGAAGGCGGCUGUCUGGUCUGUAACUGACGCUGAGGCUCGAAAGUAUGGGUAGCAAACAGGAUUAGAUACCCUGGUAGUCCAUACCGUAAACGAUGAAUGCUAAGUGCUGGAGGGUUUCCGCCCUUCAGUGCUGCAGCUAACGCAUUAAGCAUUCCGCCUGGGGAGUACGGCCGCAAGGCUGAAACUCAAAGGAAUUGACGGGGGCCCGCACAAGCGGUGGAGCAUGUGGUUUAAUUCGAAGCUACGCGAAGAACCUUACCAGGUCUUGACAUACUAUGCAAAUCUAAGAGAUUAGACGUUCCCUUCGGGGACAUGGAUACAGGUGGUGCAUGGUUGUCGUCAGCUCGUGUCGUGAGAUGUUGGGUUAAGUCCCGCAACGAGCGCAACCCUUAUUAUCAGUUGCCAGCAUUAAGUUGGGCACUCUGGUGAGACUGCCGGUGACAAGCCGGAGGAAGGUGGGGAUGACGUCAAAUCAUCAUGCCCCUUAUGACCUGGGCUACACACGUGCUACAAUGGAUGGUACAACGAGUUGCGAACUCGCGAGAGUAAACUAAUCUCUUAAAGCCAUUCUCAGUUCGGAUUGUAGGCUGCAACUCGCCUACAUGAAGUCGGAAUCGCUAGUAAUCGCGGAUCAGCAUGCCGCGGUGAAUACGUUCCCGGGCCUUGUACACACCGCCCGUCACACCAUGAGAGUUUGUAACACCCAAAGUCGGUGGGGUAACCUUUUAGGAACCAGCCGCCUAAGGUGGGACAGAUGAUUAGGGUG